GAUGAACGCUGGCGGCGUGCCUAAUACAUGCAAGUCGAGCGAACAGACGAGGAGCUUGCUCCUCUGACGUUAGCGGCGGACGGGUGAGUAACACGUGGAUAACCUACCUAUAAGACUGGGAUAACUUCGGGAAACCGGAGCUAAUACCGGAUAAUAUAUUGAACCGCAUGGUUCAAUAGUGAAAGACGGUUUUGCUGUCACUUAUAGAUGGAUCCGCGCCGCAUUAGCUAGUUGGUAAGGUAACGGCUUACCAAGGCAACGAUGCUUAGCCGACCUGAGAGGGUGAUCGUCCACACUGGAACUGAGACACGGUCCAGACUCCUACUGGAGGCAGCAGUAGGGAAUCUUCCGCAAUGGGCGAAAGCUUGACGGAGCAACGCCGCGUGAGUGAUGAAGGUCUUCGGAUCUUAAAACUCUGUUAUUAGGGAAGAACAAAUGUGUAAGUAACUAUGCACGUCUUGACGGUACCUAAUCAGAAAGCCACGGCUAACUACGUG
This 497-nucleotide ribosomal RNA is filed under the name uncultured bacterium. RNAcentral's name for it is "partial 16S ribosomal RNA". It matches the Rfam family "Bacterial small subunit ribosomal RNA", at positions 28 to 507 of the family's 1533-position model. The record is from RNAcentral.